CCUACGGGUGGCAGCAGUGGGGAAUAUUGGACAAUGGGCGGAAGCCUGAUCCAGCAACGCCGCGUGAGGGAUGACGGCCUUCGGGUUGUAAACCUCUUUCAGUACCGACGAAGCGAGAGUGACGGUAGGUACAGAAGAAGCACCGGCCAACUACGUGCCAGCAGCCGCGGUAAUACGUAGGGUGCGAGCGUUGUCCGGAAUUAUUGGGCGUAAAGGGCUCGUAGGCGGUUUGUCGCGUCGGGAGUGAAAUCACCGGGCUUAACUCGGUGCUUGCUUUCGAUACGGGCAGACUAGAGGCAUUCAGGGGAGAACGGAAUUCCUGGUGUAGCGGUGAAAUGCGCAGAUAUCAGGAGGAACACCGGUGGCGAAGGCGGUUCUCUGGGAAUGUCCUGACGCUGAGGAGCGAAAGUGUGGGGAGCGAACAGGAUUAGAUACCCUAGUAGUC
Molecule: ribosomal RNA, 445 nt
Filed under: uncultured Nocardioides sp.
Lineage: Bacteria; Bacillati; Actinomycetota; Actinomycetes; Propionibacteriales; Nocardioidaceae
Description: bacterial SSU rRNA
Rfam family: Bacterial small subunit ribosomal RNA
Source: RNAcentral